RNAcentral lists this ribosomal RNA (2902 nucleotides) under Klebsiella pneumoniae. RNAcentral describes it as "23S ribosomal RNA". It matches the Rfam family "Bacterial large subunit ribosomal RNA". Lineage: Bacteria; Pseudomonadati; Pseudomonadota; Gammaproteobacteria; Enterobacterales; Enterobacteriaceae. The record is from RNAcentral.
GGUUAAGCGACUAAGCGUACACGGUGGAUGCCCUGGCAGUCAGAGGCGAUGAAGGACGUGCUAAUCUGCGAAAAGCGUCGGUAAGGUGAUAUGAACCGUUAUAACCGGCGAUGUCCGAAUGGGGAAACCCAGUGCAAUUCGUUGCACUAUCGUUAACUGAAUACAUAGGUUAACGAGGCGAACCGGGGGAACUGAAACAUCUAAGUACCCCGAGGAAAAGAAAUCAACCGAGAUUCCCCCAGUAGCGGCGAGCGAACGGGGAGCAGCCCAGAGUCUGAAUCAGCUUGUGUGUUAGUGGAACGGUCUGGAAAGUCCGACGGUACAGGGUGAUAGUCCCGUACACCAAAAUGCACAGGCUGUGAACUCGAAGAGUAGGGCGGGACACGUGGUAUCCUGUCUGAAUAUGGGGGGACCAUCCUCCAAGGCUAAAUACUCCUGACUGACCGAUAGUGAACCAGUACCGUGAGGGAAAGGCGAAAAGAACCCCGGCGAGGGGAGUGAAAAAGAACCUGAAACCGUGUACGUACAAGCAGUGGGAGCACCUUCGGGUGUGACUGCGUACCUUUUGUAUAAUGGGUCAGCGACUUAUAUUCUGUAGCAAGGUUAACCGUAUAGGGGAGCCGCAGGGAAACCGAGUCUUAACUGGGCGUUAAGUUGCAGGGUAUAGACCCGAAACCCGGUGAUCUAGCCAUGGGCAGGUUGAAGGUUGGGUAACACUAACUGGAGGACCGAACCGACUAAUGUUGAAAAAUUAGCGGAUGACUUGUGGCUGGGGGUGAAAGGCCAAUCAAACCGGGAGAUAGCUGGUUCUCCCCGAAAGCUAUUUAGGUAGCGCCUCGUGAAUUCAUCUUCGGGGGUAGAGCACUGUUUCGGCUAGGGGGUCAUCCCGACUUACCAACCCGAUGCAAACUACGAAUACCGAAGAAUGUUAUCACGGGAGACACACGGCGGGUGCUAACGUCCGUCGUGAAGAGGGAAACAACCCAGACCGCCAGCUAAGGUCCCAAAGUCAUGGUUAAGUGGGAAACGAUGUGGGAAGGCACAGACAGCCAGGAUGUUGGCUUAGAAGCAGCCAUCAUUUAAAGAAAGCGUAAUAGCUCACUGGUCGAGUCGGCCUGCGCGGAAGAUGUAACGGGGCUAAACCAUGCACCGAAGCUGCGGCAGCGACACUAUGUGUUGUUGGGUAGGGGAGCGUUCUGUAAGCCUGCGAAGGUGUGCUGUGAGGCAUGCUGGAGGUAUCAGAAGUGCGAAUGCUGACAUAAGUAACGAUAAAGCGGGUGAAAAGCCCGCUCGCCGGAAGACCAAGGGUUCCUGUCCAACGUUAAUCGGGGCAGGGUGAGUCGACCCCUAAGGCGAGGCCGAAAGGCGUAGUCGAUGGGAAACAGGUUAAUAUUCCUGUACUUGGUGUUACUGCGAAGGGGGGACGGAGAAGGCUAUGUUAGCCGGGCGACGGUUGUCCCGGUUUAAGCAUGUAGGCUGGUUGUCCAGGCAAAUCCGGAUAAUCAAGGCUGAGGUGUGAUGACGAGGCACUACGGUGCUGAAGUAACAAAUGCCCUGCUUCCAGGAAAAGCCUCUAAGCAUCAGGUAACAUCAAAUCGUACCCCAAACCGACACAGGUGGUCAGGUAGAGAAUACCAAGGCGCUUGAGAGAACUCGGGUGAAGGAACUAGGCAAAAUGGUGCCGUAACUUCGGGAGAAGGCACGCUGGUGUGUAGGUGAAGCCCCUGCGGGUGGAGCUGAGACCAGUCGAAGAUACCAGCUGGCUGCAACUGUUUAUUAAAAACACAGCACUGUGCAAACACGAAAGUGGACGUAUACGGUGUGACGCCUGCCCGGUGCCGGAAGGUUAAUUGAUGGGGUUAUCCGUAAGGAGAAGCUCUUGAUCGAAGCCCCGGUAAACGGCGGCCGUAACUAUAACGGUCCUAAGGUAGCGAAAUUCCUUGUCGGGUAAGUUCCGACCUGCACGAAUGGCGUAAUGAUGGCCAGGCUGUCUCCACCCGAGACUCAGUGAAAUUGAACUCGCUGUGAAGAUGCAGUGUACCCGCGGCAAGACGGAAAGACCCCGUGAACCUUUACUAUAGCUUGACACUGAACAUUGAGCCUUGAUGUGUAGGAUAGGUGGGAGGCUUUGAAGCGUGGACGCCAGUCUGCGUGGAGCCAACCUUGAAAUACCACCCUUUAAUGUUUGAUGUUCUAACGUUGGCCCCUGACCGGGGUUGCGGACAGUGUCUGGUGGGUAGUUUGACUGGGGCGGUCUCCUCCCAAAGCGUAACGGAGGAGCACGAAGGUUAGCUAAUCCUGGUCGGACAUCAGGAGGUUAGUGCAAUGGCAUAAGCUAGCUUGACUGCGAGCGUGACGGCGCGAGCAGGUGCGAAAGCAGGUCAUAGUGAUCCGGUGGUUCUGAAUGGAAGGGCCAUCGCUCAACGGAUAAAAGGUACUCCGGGGAUAACAGGCUGAUACCGCCCAAGAGUUCAUAUCGACGGCGGUGUUUGGCACCUCGAUGUCGGCUCAUCACAUCCUGGGGCUGAAGUAGGUCCCAAGGGUAUGGCUGUUCGCCAUUUAAAGUGGUACGCGAGCUGGGUUUAGAACGUCGUGAGACAGUUCGGUCCCUAUCUGCCGUGGGCGCUGGAGAAUUGAGGGGGGCUGCUCCUAGUACGAGAGGACCGGAGUGGACGCAUCACUGGUGUUCGGGUUGUCAUGCCAAUGGCACUGCCCGGUAGCUAAAUGCGGAAGAGAUAAGUGCUGAAAGCAUCUAAGCACGAAACUUGCCCCGAGAUGAGUUCUCCCUGAGACUUUAAGUCUCCUGAAGGAACGUUAAAGACGAUGACGUUGAUAGGCCGGGUGUGUAAGCGCAGCGAUGCGUUGAGCUAACCGGUACUAAUGAACCGUGAGGCUUAACCUU